RNAcentral lists this ribosomal RNA (856 nucleotides) under uncultured bacterium. RNAcentral describes it as "bacterial SSU rRNA". It matches the Rfam family "Bacterial small subunit ribosomal RNA", at positions 572 to 1429 of the family's 1533-position model. The record is from RNAcentral.
CAGACGGUUACUUAAGCAGGAUGUGAANUCCCCGGGCUCAACCUGGGAACUGCGUUNUGAACUGGGUGACUAGAGUGUGUCAGAGGGAGGUAGAAUNCCACGUGUAGCAGUGAAAUGCGUAGAGAUGUGGAGGAAUACCGAUGGCGAAGGCAGCCUCCUGGGAUAACACUGACGUUCAUGCCCGAAAGCGUGGGUAACAAACAGGAUUAGAUACCCUGGUAGUCCACGCCCUAAACGAUGUCGAUUAGCUGUUGGGCAGCAUGACUGCUUAGUAGCGAAGCUAACGCGUGAAAUCGACCGCCUGGGGAGUACGGUCGCAAGAUUAAAACUCAAAGGAAUUGACGGGGACCCGCACAAGCGGUGGAUGAUGUGGAUUAAUUCGAUGCAACGCGAAGAACCUUACCUGGUCUUGACAUGUACGGAACCCUCCAGAGACGGAGGGGUGCCUUCGGGAGCCGUAACACAGGUGCUGCAUGGCUGUCGUCAGCUCGUGUCGUGAGAUGUUGGGUUAAGUCCCGCAACGAGCGCAACCCUUGUCAUUAGUUGCCAUCAUUAAGUUGGGCACUCUAAUGAGACUGCCGGUGACAAGCCGGAGGAAGGUGGGGAUGACGUCAAGUCCUCAUGGCCCUUAUGACCAGGGCUUCACACGUCAUACAAUGGUCGGUACAGAGGGUAGCCAAGCCGCGAGGUGGAGCCAAUCUCACAAAACCGAUCGUAGUCCGGAUUGCACUCUGCAACUCGAGUGCAUGAAGUCGGAAUCGCUAGUAAUCGCAGGUCAGCAUACUGCGGUGAAUACGUUCCCGGGUCUUGUACACACCGCCCGUCACACCAUGGGAGUGGGGGAUACCAGAAGUAG